AAUUAAUUAAACUUUAUCAUUAUAUAUCACUAGUAAUAUUAGGUUAACAUAAUUAGUCAUUUGUCGUAUAGAUAAUUUUUUAAUACCUUAAAUGGUGUAAGUAAUUAUUUUAUUAGAAAUAUUAAAAUUAACAACAUUUGUAAUUAGUAUUUAGUAAUAUAAGUAAGUUUUUUGCUGAUACAGAUAAUGUUGGAUAUUUUACAUUUUUGUCGAAUACGAAUCUAGAACCGGAUAGAGAAAAACACUGAAAAUCGAAUAUGGAUACAUCCAUUUGACAUCCACAUUGAAAACGAAUACGAACAUAUUAAUGUUUUUAGCGGAUACGAAUUCGGAUAAUUCCGAUUUCCAGACAUCUAAAACCAUCCCUCCAUGUCAGCGAGGCGGGCAAUUAAAAAUUUAAAACUAGCGUUUCGUUGCCCCCAGCAAGCCAAACACAUUUCUCUCCAUCGUGGUUCUCUCUCCCCCAGCUAGCCAAAC
This 477-nucleotide long non-coding RNA is filed under the name Setaria viridis. RNAcentral describes it as "long non-coding RNA (SVIR_LNC004502)". Lineage: Eukaryota; Viridiplantae; Streptophyta; Magnoliopsida; Poales; Poaceae. The record is from RNAcentral.